RNAcentral lists this ribosomal RNA (301 nucleotides) under uncultured bacterium. Its description in RNAcentral is "partial 16S ribosomal RNA". It matches the Rfam family "Bacterial small subunit ribosomal RNA", at positions 509 to 809 of the family's 1533-position model. The record is from RNAcentral.
CAGCAGCCGCGGGAAAACGAAGGGGGCUAGCGUUGUUCGGAAUUACUGGGCGUAAAGCGCACGUAGGCGAAUAUUUAAGUCAGGGGUGAAAUCCCGCAGCUCAACUGCGGAACUGCCUUUGAUACUGGGUAUCUUGAGUAUGGAAGAGGUUAGUGGAAUUGCGAGUGUAGAGGUGAAAUUCGUAGAUAUUCGCAGGAACACCAGUGGCGAAGGCGGCUAACUGGUCCAUAACUGACGCUGAGGUGCGAAAGCGUGGGGAGCAAACAGGAUUAGAUACCCCUGUAGUCCCUGUCUCUUAUAA